UACAGAGGUCUCAAGCGUUGUUCGGAUUCAUUGGGCGUAAAGAGCGCGUAGGCGGCCCUGUAAGUCCGCUGUGAAAGUCAAGGGCUCAACCCUUGGAUGCCGGUGGAUACUGCAGGGCUAGAGUCCGGAAGAGGCGAGUGGAAUUCCUGGUGUAGCGGUGAAAUGCGCAGAUAUCAGGAGGAACACCGAUGGCGAAGGCAGCUCGCUGGGACGGUACUGACGCUGAGGCGCGAAAGCGUGGGGAGCAAACAGG
Molecule: ribosomal RNA, 253 nt
Filed under: uncultured bacterium
Lineage: Bacteria
Description: partial 16S ribosomal RNA
Rfam family: Bacterial small subunit ribosomal RNA
Source: RNAcentral